Non-coding RNA from Eucalyptus grandis, 104 nucleotides. Lineage: Eukaryota; Viridiplantae; Streptophyta; Magnoliopsida; Myrtales; Myrtaceae. The record is from Rfam.
AGUCUGUGAUGUAAGCAUCUCCUAAAAAAUUCCUUGAAUAUUUCUCAUGCUUCAAAUAAUCAUUCAUUAUCCAUUUGUAAAAAAGUAGUAAUAUCGUUAUGCAU